GCUCAGAUUGAACGCUGGCGGCAGGCUUAACACAUGCAAGUCGAGCGGUAACAUUCCUAGCUUGCUAGGAGAUGACGAGCGGCGGACGGGUGAGUAAUGCUUGGGAAUAUGCCUUAUGGUGGGGGACAACAGUUGGAAACGACUGCUAAUACCGCAUAACGUCUACGGACCAAAGGGGGGGAUUCUUCGGAACCUCUCGCCAUUUGAUUAGCCCAAGUGAGAUUAGCUAGUUGGUGAGGUAAAGGCUCACCAAGGCGACGAUCUCUAGCUGGUUUGAGAGGAUGAUCAGCCACACUGGGACUGAGACACGGCCCAGACUCCUACGGGAGGCAGCAGUGGGGAAUAUUGCACAAUGGGCGAAAGCCUGAUGCAGCCAUGCCGCGUGUGUGAAGAAGGCCUUCGGGUUGUAAAGCACUUUCAGUUGUGAGGAAAGGUGAGUAGUUAAUAGCUGCUUGCUGUGACGUUAACAACAGAAGAA
RNAcentral lists this ribosomal RNA (478 nucleotides) under uncultured Gammaproteobacteria bacterium. RNAcentral describes it as "bacterial SSU rRNA". It matches the Rfam family "Bacterial small subunit ribosomal RNA", at positions 22 to 489 of the family's 1533-position model. Lineage: Bacteria; Pseudomonadati; Pseudomonadota; Gammaproteobacteria. The record is from RNAcentral.